This 1554-nucleotide ribosomal RNA is filed under the name Kingella kingae. RNAcentral describes it as "partial 23S ribosomal RNA". It matches the Rfam family "Bacterial large subunit ribosomal RNA", at positions 1 to 1601 of the family's 2925-position model. The record is from RNAcentral. Lineage: Bacteria; Pseudomonadati; Pseudomonadota; Betaproteobacteria; Neisseriales; Neisseriaceae.
AGUCAAGUGAAUAAGUGCAUCAGGUGGAUGCCUUGGCGAUGAUAGGCGAAGAAGGACGUGUAAGCCUGCGAAAAGCACGGAGAAGCUGGCAAAAAAGCAAUGAUACCGUGAUGUCCGAAUGGGGAAACCCACUGCACUCGUGCAGUAUCCUAGUCUGAAUACAUAGGGCUAGAGAAGCGAACCUGGAGAACUGAACCAUCUAAGUACCCAGAGGAAAAGAAAUCAACCGAGAUUCCGCAAGUAGUGGCGAGCGAACGCGGAAAAGCCUGUAUAUGAUAAUGGUUAGGAUAGAAGAAGGGAUUGGAAACUUCCGCCAUAGUGGGUGAUAGCCCCGUAUUUGAAAUCUUAACCAUGGUACUAAGUAUACGAGAAGUAGGGCGGGACACGUGAAAUCCUGUCUGAAUAUGGGGGGACCAUCCUCCAAGGCUAAAUACUCAUCAUCGACCGAUAGUGAACCAGUACCGUGAGGGAAAGGCGAAAAGAACCCCGGAAGGGGAGUGAAAUAGAACCUGAAACCUGAUGCAUACAUACAGUGGGAGCAUCUUUGUGGUGUGACUGCGUACCUUUUGUAUAAUGGGUCAACGACUUACAUUCAGUAGCGAGCUUAACCGAGUAGGGGAGGCGUAGGGAAACCGAGUCUUAAUAGGGCGACUAGUUGCUGGGUGUAGACCCGAAACCGAGUGAUCUAUCCAUGGCCAGGAUGAAGGUGCGGUAAAACGCAUUGGAGGUCCGAACCCACGCAUGUUGCAAAAUGCGGGGAUGAGCUGUGGAUAGGGGUGAAAGGCUAAACAAACUCGGAGAUAGCUGGUUCUCCCCGAAAACUAUUUAGGUAGUGCCUCGAGUAUGAGACUGAUGGGGGUAAAGCACUGUUAUGGCUAGGGGGUUAUUGCAACUUACCAACCCAUGGCAAACUAAGAAUACCAUCAAGUUGCUCCUCGGGAGACAGACAUCGGGUGCUAACGUCCGGUGUCAAGAGGGAAACAACCCAGACCGCCAGCUAAGGUCCCAAAUGAUAGAUUAAGUGGUAAACGAAGUAGGAAGGCACAGACAGCCAGGAUGUUGGCUUAGAAGCAGCCAUCAUUCAAAGAAAGCGUAAUAGCUCACUGGUCGAGUCUUCCUGCGCGGAAGAUGUAACGGGGCUCAAAUCUAUAACCGAAGCUGCGGAUAUACUUUUGUAUAUGGUAGGGGAGCGUUCUGUAAGCCUGUGAAGGUGACUUGUAAAGGUUGCUGGAGGUAUCAGAAGUGCGAAUGUUGACAUGAGUAGCGAUAAAGCGGGUGAAAAGCCCGCUCGCCGAAAGCCCAAGGUUUCCUACGCAACGUUCAUCGGCGUAGGGUGAGUCGGCCCCUAAGGCGAGGCAGAAAUGCGUAGUCGAUGGGAAACAGGUUAAUAUUCCUGUACUUUGAUUCAAUGCGAUGUGGGGACGGAGAAGGUUAGGUUAGCAAACUGUUGGAAUAGUUUGUUUAAGCCAGUAGGUGGAAAGAGUAGGCAAAUCCGCUCUUUCUUAACACCGAGACGUGAUGACGAGUGUCUACGGACAUGAAGUGACCAAUACC